This is a long non-coding RNA of Motacilla alba alba, 318 nucleotides long. RefSeq lists it as uncharacterized. The transcript is spliced from 3 exons. Lineage: Eukaryota; Metazoa; Chordata; Aves; Passeriformes; Motacillidae. The record is from RefSeq and is a predicted model, not a curated record.
UCAAAGGUGGGUCACUAACCACAUGUUGUUGUGGUAGAGAAUUAACUGAAAGCAGGAUAACCAGGAAAGAAAGAUUAGUAGGACACCAAUCCCAUUUCCUCCCAAGAAGCAGUCUGACCCAUCCCAGUGGAGAAGAAGGGGAAGCUUCUCCAUGAUCCUGUCCAUGCUGUGUGAUGGUCUUCUACUGCUCUCAGGACAGCCAUUAGCAGUGUAUGGCAUAAAAAUAUUUCUUCUGUUGAAAUGCUGUGUUUCAAAUGGAAGCAAAAUGGAAGUAUGGAGACCUUUGUGAUUACUAACAUUUCUGUGGUAUGUACAAAA